Molecule: ribosomal RNA, 242 nt
Filed under: uncultured Methanosaeta sp.
Lineage: Archaea; Methanobacteriati; Methanobacteriota; Methanomicrobia; Methanotrichales; Methanotrichaceae
Description: partial 16S ribosomal RNA
Rfam family: Archaeal small subunit ribosomal RNA
Source: RNAcentral
ACUGUUGGGACCGCCUCUGCUAAGAGGAGGAAGGAAUGGGCAACGGUAGGUCAGUAUGCCCCGAAUAUCCCGGGCUACACGCGAGCUACAAUGGUUGGUACAAUGGGUAUCUACCCCGAAAGGGGACGGGAAUCUCCUAAACCAAUCUUAGUUCGGAUUGAGGGCUGCAACUCGCCCUCAUGAAGCUGGAAUCCGUAGUAAUCGCGUUUCAACAGAACGCGGUGAAUACGUCCCUGCUCCUU